Molecule: long non-coding RNA, 692 nt
Organism: Gopherus evgoodei (Goodes thornscrub tortoise)
Lineage: Eukaryota; Metazoa; Chordata; Testudines; Testudinidae
Exons: 4
Source: RefSeq, a predicted model, not a curated record
GGGCUUCCUCUGAACACUAAAAAGGAGGAUUUCAAUGGAAAUGAGAGUUUUGAACACAGCAUCAAGGCAGAGGUUUGGCUGAGCAGAACAUACCACUCAUUGAGAUGCACAAAGAGCGUCAAUCCUUCAGACUUUCCUGCAGCGAUUUCCACAAUAAAGGUUCAAAUAGGUACUUGAAGGAAAGACUGGAUAUAUUUACCCAGAGGUAUCCUCUCAUAAGGAAAUGGUGGGCCUGUUACCUUCUCCAGAGGACAGGACAGAGGACACCAAAAGGAAGCUGUGUGUGAAUGAGAGACACUGGUCCAGGAAUAAACAGGACUCCCUUCAUAGGCAGUCGGUGCCAAUGCUUAUCCAGCAGUAGAGUGAUGUUGACACUGGUUCCUGAAAGCACAUCACACCGGCGUUUGGCUCCCUGUCCUGGAUCUCCUCUGAGUACAAAGUUAGAUGCAAGGUUUUGACACCUGAUCCAUACCUGGGAAGUCACUUCUGCAAGUGAUUAAACUAACUGUCAACCCCACCACAAUGCAAAUUCAUUUCAGUGUACCUUUCCUACCACCACCCACUGAAAGAGCAUGGAUGGAAACAGACUUACCCUUUUAGAAUCUAUGGAGUGCUCAGACACAUAGGAGCUGACUCUGUGGGUGCUCUGGGGCUGGAGCACACAUGGAAAAAAAAUAUAGUGGGUACUCAGC